Molecule: long non-coding RNA, 228 nt
Filed under: Gossypium barbadense (sea-island cotton)
Lineage: Eukaryota; Viridiplantae; Streptophyta; Magnoliopsida; Malvales; Malvaceae
Description: long non-coding RNA (GBAR_LNC000613)
Source: RNAcentral
UUGUGACUCGUAUCAUUCCCCCCUUCCUCAAAAAGAUUCGUCCUCGAAUCUGAAAAAUCAAAUGAACUCGACUUUCCUCUAUCGAACGGGACUAAUGGCAAUUGAGUCCACUGAAAAGAAUAGCCAUGAGAUAGUAAAUAGCAACGAAAACAAGCUUGUAGUCCAAUCAUAAGCAUAACAGAACAGGUAUAACGCAUGUGAAUGGACAGAUUCAGAUUACCAUGCAAA